Molecule: ribosomal RNA, 429 nt
Filed under: Actinomycetes bacterium
Lineage: Bacteria; Bacillati; Actinomycetota; Actinomycetes
Description: Actinobacteria bacterium partial 16S ribosomal RNA
Rfam family: Bacterial small subunit ribosomal RNA
Source: RNAcentral
UAGGGAAUCUUCCGCAAUGGGCGAAAGCCUGACGGAGCAACGCCGCGUGAGUGAUGAAGGUCUUCGGAUCGUAAAACUCUGUUAUUAGGGAAGAACAAAUGUGUAAGUAACUAUGCACGUCUUGACGGUACCUAAUCAGAAAGCCACGGCUAACUACGUGCCAGCAGCCGCGGUAAUACGUAGGUGGCAAGCGUUAUCCGGAAUUAUUGGGCGUAAAGCGCGCGUAGGCGGUUUUUUAAGUCUGAUGUGAAAGCCCACGGCUCAACCGUGGAGGGUCAUUGGAAACUGGAAAACGUGAGUGCAGAAGAGGAAAGUGGAAUUCCAUGUGUAGCGGUGAAAUGCGCAGAGAUAUGGAGGAACACCAGUGGCGAAGGCGACUUUCUGGUCUGUAACUGACGAUGAUGUGCGAAAGCGUGGGGAUCAAACAGG